GAUGAACGCUGGCGGCGUGCCUAAUACAUGCAAGUCGAGCGAACAGACGAGAGUGCUUGCACUCUCUGACGUUAGCGGCGGACGGGUGAGUAACACGUGGGUAACCUACCUAUAAGACUGGGAUAACUUCGGGAAACCGGAGCUAAUACCGGAUAAUAUUUAGCUUCGCAUGAAGCAAUAGUGAAAGACGGUUCUGCUGUCACUUAUAGAUGGACCCGCGGUGUAUUAGCUAGUUGGUGAGGUAACGGCUCACCAAGGCAACGAUACGUAGCCGACCUGAGAGGGUGAUCGGCCACACUGGGACUGAGACACGGCCCAGACUCCUACGGGAGGCAGCAGUAGGGAAUCUUCCGCAAUGGACGAAAGUCUGACGGAGCAAUGCCGCGUGAGUGAAGAAGGUUUUCGGAUCGUAAAACUCUGUUGUAAGGGAAGAACAAGUACGUUAGUAACUGAACGUACCUUGACGGUACCUUACCAGAAAGCCACGGCUAACUACGUG
This 499-nucleotide ribosomal RNA is filed under the name uncultured bacterium. Its description in RNAcentral is "partial 16S ribosomal RNA". It matches the Rfam family "Bacterial small subunit ribosomal RNA", at positions 28 to 507 of the family's 1533-position model. The record is from RNAcentral.